UACGUAGGGGGCUAGCGUUGUCCGGAAUCAUUGGGCGUAAAGAGCGUGUAGGCGGUCCGGUACGUCCGCUGUGAAAGUCGGGGGCUCAACCCUCGAAUGCCGGUGGAUACUGUCGGGCUAGAGUGCGGAAGAGGCGAGUGGAAUUCCUGGUGUAGCGGUGAAAUGCGCAGAGAUCAGGAGGAACACCAAUGGCGAAGGCAGCUCGCUGGGACGUUACUGACGCUGAGACGCGAAAGCGUGGGGAGCAAACAGG
RNAcentral lists this ribosomal RNA (253 nucleotides) under uncultured bacterium. RNAcentral's name for it is "partial 16S ribosomal RNA". It matches the Rfam family "Bacterial small subunit ribosomal RNA", at positions 524 to 776 of the family's 1533-position model. The record is from RNAcentral.